GAUGAACGCUGGCGGCGUGCCUAAUACAUGCAAGUCGAGCGAACGGACGAGAAGCUUGCUUCUCUGAUGUUAGCGGCGGACGGGUGAGUAACACGUGGAUAACCUACCUAUAAGACUGGGAUAACUUCGGGAAACCGGAGCUAAUACCGGAUAAUAUUUUGAACCGCAUGGUUCAAAAGUGAAAGACGGUCUUGCUGUCACUUAUAGAUGGAUCCGCGCUGCAUUAGCUAGUUGGUGAGGUAACGGCUUACCAAGGCAACGAUGCAUAGCCGACCUGAGAGGGUGAUCGGCCACACUGGAACUGAGACACGGUCCAGACUCCUACGGGAGGCAGCAGUAGGGAAUCUUCCGCAAUGGGCGAAAGCCUGACGGAGCAACGCCGCGUGAGUGAUGAAGGUCUUCGGAUCGUAAAACUCUGUUAUUAGGGAAGAACAUAUGUGUAAGUAACUGUGCACAUCUUGACGGUACCUAAUCAGAAAGCCACGGCUAACUACGUGCCAGCAGCCGCGGUAAUACGUAGGUGGCAAGCGUUAUCCGGAAUUAUUGGGCGUAAAGCGCGCGUAGGCGGUUUUUUAAGUCUGAUGUGAAAGCCCACGGCUCAACCGUGGAGGGUCAUUGGAAACUGGAAAACUUGAGUGCAGAAGAGGAAAGUGGAAUUCCAUGUGUAGCGGUGAAAUGCGCAGAGAUAUGGAGGAACACCAGUGGCGAAGGCGACUUUCUGGUCUGUAACUGACGCUGAUGUGCGAAAGCGUGGGGAUCAAACAGGAUUAGAUACCCUGGUAGUCCACGCCGUAAACGAUGAGUGCUAAGUGUUAGGGGGUUUCCGCCCCUUAGUGCUGCAGCUAACGCAUUAAGCACUCCGCCUGGGGAGUACGACCGCAAGGUUGAAACUCAAAGGAAUUGACGGGGACCCGCACAAGCGGUGGAGCAUGUGGUUUAAUUCGAAGCAACGCGAAGAACCUUACCAAAUCUUGACAUCCUUUGACAACUCUAGAGAUAGAGCUUUCCCCUUCGGGGGACAAAGUGACAGGUGGUGCAUGGUUGUCGUCAGCUCGUGUCGUGAGAUGUUGGGUUAAGUCCCGCAACGAGCGCAACCCUUAAGCUUAGUUGCCAUCAUUAAGUUGGGCACUCUAAGUUGACUGCCGGUGACAAACCGGAGGAAGGUGGGGAUGACGUCAAAUCAUCAUGCCCCUUAUGAUUUGGGCUACACACGUGCUACAAUGGACAAUACAAAGGGCAGCGAAACCGCGAGGUCAAGCAAAUCCCAUAAAGUUGUUCUCAGUUCGGAUUGUAGUCUGCAACUCGACUACAUGAAGCUGGAAUCGCUAGUAAUCGUAGAUCAGCAUGCUACGGUGAAUACGUUCCCGGGUCU
This 1372-nucleotide ribosomal RNA is filed under the name uncultured bacterium. RNAcentral describes it as "bacterial SSU rRNA". It matches the Rfam family "Bacterial small subunit ribosomal RNA", at positions 28 to 1381 of the family's 1533-position model. The record is from RNAcentral.